UGCAUCAACUACAUUCAAAAGGAAAUAUUUUUCUACUAUUCCAUAACGUCCUUUCAAGCAGUUCAAACAUGUUUGUUUUUACGAAUUUAAUACUUUAUUUCAUGUUGUAUAAUCAGAUAAAAGGAGUAGAAUGGGGUAAACAAACAUCGUACUAUGUCAAGUUAGACCGAGCUGAAUUGGAUAGUUUUGAUACUGAAGUAUUUCGUGAAGUGGAAUUCAAAUCGUUUAAAAUAAAUCGCAUCGACUUUGGAUUCAACUAUACACAUCAUCUUAGACGUACUUUGGAGAAUUCAGACAAAGCUAUUGUGAGCAUAAGCGUUUAUCGACGUGUUAGCAAUGAAUAUCGGCUAAAAUUGCUGCAGUUUGAGUUGCAUUAUUGUGAAUUGAUAAGAAGACAUUGUUAUCACGUUUUGGAAUUGCAGUAUACUAAUGGUACUGCGGUGACGGACUGUCCACUGUACCCAAUACGUUAUGUCAGUUAUAAUCAAAGUUUUCGCGCUGACAAUUUUCCGCCAAAUGUGCCUGCUGGUACUUAUCGAUUGAGGUUCGUUUUAAAUUUGGAUAAAAAAGAAAUUUUAGGAUUAAGCUUCUAUGCUGAUGUGGUGAAUAAUAA
This is a long non-coding RNA of Dalotia coriaria, 613 nucleotides long. RefSeq lists it as uncharacterized. Lineage: Eukaryota; Metazoa; Arthropoda; Insecta; Coleoptera; Staphylinidae. The record is from RefSeq and is a predicted model, not a curated record. The transcript has 3 exons.